AAGUCGUAACAAGGUAACCGUAGGUGAACCUGCGGUUGGAUCAUUAACAAAUCCAACUAGUCUAGGCCAAGUUUGAAAAAACAAGGCUCAUGACUACAAACACCCUGUGAACUAGAACUGUCUUUGGUAGGGCGUUAGCUCUACCAAUCUAUUUACCCCAUUAUUUUUAACCUGAUUUCUUUAUAACUAAACCUUGCAAAAGGGAUAGUCUCUAAUGAAAAACAACUUUUGACAACGGAUCUCUUGGUUCUC
This 252-nucleotide unclassified non-coding RNA is filed under the name fungal sp. RNAcentral describes it as "partial internal transcribed spacer region". The stretch from base 1 to 46 matches the Rfam family "Eukaryotic small subunit ribosomal RNA", at positions 1786 to 1831 of the family's 1831-position model. The record is from RNAcentral. Lineage: Eukaryota; Fungi.